UCUUUUUUUUUUUGGUUUUCACUGUGUGUCCUUGGCCAAUCUCAGCACCAAAUUGGGUGGUUGACCCUCUGAGUCACCACCAAAGGCCAGGGCUGAAGGCACCUGCCAUUCCUAACAGGUGAGCACCAGGCUGGAGCCCAGCCAAGCCAGGCCUGCUUUUCUUGCACACAAAAGAAAAGUGCCUAGUCACUGCAGCUUGUAAUCUGAGUAGCGGAGCCUGGGCACCUCCCCUGCAUUGGGAGCAAGGAGUCAACCCCCAUCAGCUCCUGUCUGGGGGCACCGUGACAGGCUGGGCUCCGAUAGUGCUACUGACAGUCGGGGCACUUCUAAGGCAGCUGGCCUGGCCUGCAGCAUGGAAUGGGGAGAGAUGUCACCUUGUGCCUUGUUCUGAGUGCUCGUUUCCCUGAGCAAGCUGGGCAGCAGGGGUGGCUUUUGUUCCAGUGGAUAUUACAGAUGACCGUUUUGUUUUUGUUGUGGUGAGAUUAAGUGGAUUUCCUCCUGGGCAGUUACUGAAUAGCUGAAGUGGUCGUUUUUUAGGCGAGGGUUCUGGAGAAAGGCAUGGAGAGGGAUCACUUCCCUGUUCAGAGCUACAUAGCUCCUCCUAGGAAACAUUAAGCUGUAGGAGUGCUUGGCUGGGAAGAGCAGUCAGCAGUUAUAGGAAGUCCCAUGCCCGAGUUGGCUGCUCCUCACCCAAGGGAGGUGCCCAAGUUCCACUACUCAGAUUACAACAUAAUGGUUUUUUUCUCCCCACCCCACCCUCAGAAUUAGCAACGACAUCUAGUCAGCCUUCCUUCUGGUGACUUUGAAACAAAGUGAAAGUGAAGUCGCUCAGUACGACUCUUUGCGACCCCGUGGACUGUAGCCUACCAAGCUCCUCUGACCAUGGGAUUCUCCAGGCAAGAAUACUGGAGUGGGUUGCCAUUUCCUUCUUUGAUGAGGCCUCAAAUGACAUUUUGAUUCACUCAUGAAUUUAUUCGUUGCAUUUGCCAAGGCCUGUGUGCAGAUAUUGUGCUAGAUGUUUGAAGACAAUCCUGUAUCAGUUCUCAGCUCACAGGUCAUAGGUCAGUGGGGGCCA
Long non-coding RNA from Bos taurus (domestic cattle), 1075 nucleotides. The record is from Ensembl. Lineage: Eukaryota; Metazoa; Chordata; Mammalia; Artiodactyla; Bovidae.